This 377-nucleotide ribosomal RNA is filed under the name uncultured bacterium. RNAcentral's name for it is "bacterial SSU rRNA". It matches the Rfam family "Bacterial small subunit ribosomal RNA", at positions 790 to 1167 of the family's 1533-position model. The record is from RNAcentral.
GUAGUCCACGCCGUAAACGAUGGAUGCUAGCCGUUGGGACUUACGUCUCAGUGGCGCAGCUAACGCGUUAAGCAUCCCGCCUGGGGAGUACGGUCGCAAGAUUAAAACUCAAAGGAAUUGACGGGGACCCGCACAAGCGGUGGAGCAUGUGGUUUAAUUCGAGGCAACGCGAAGAACCUUACCAGGACUUGACAUGUCUAGUAUGGGGUAGAGAAAUUUACUCCUUCAGUUCGGCUGGCUAGAACACAGGUGCUGCAUGGCUGUCGUCAGCUCGUGUCGUGAGAUGUUGGGUUAAGUCCCGCAACGAGCGCAACCCUCACCCUUAGUUACCAUCAUUCAGUUGGGCACUCUAAGGGAACUGCCCGUGACAAGCGGGA